Amphimedon queenslandica is the source of this 221-nucleotide long non-coding RNA. RefSeq lists it as uncharacterized. Lineage: Eukaryota; Metazoa; Porifera; Demospongiae; Haplosclerida; Niphatidae. The transcript is spliced from 3 exons. The record is from RefSeq and is a predicted model, not a curated record.
AUAUACAAAUCAAGAGAAUUAAGGCUGGCUAUGUUUGUUCUUGUAUCUGUUCAUUAGGUUUCAUGGAAGUCAAUCAAUUACUGUAGCCACAAUUCAUCAUCUUCUUGCCAACUCAUUGACUCACAUUGGAGCAUUUGCUGAAGCUAAGCAAAAUAAGAGAAAAGCAUACAAUAUCUAUAGGACUAAAUUUGGCCCAGAUCAUGCACGUACUGUUCAGUCUU